Molecule: non-coding RNA, 80 nt
Organism: Phthorimaea operculella (potato tuberworm)
Lineage: Eukaryota; Metazoa; Arthropoda; Insecta; Lepidoptera; Gelechiidae
Source: the annotation of a GenBank genome assembly
ACCGUAGUAGCCCAGUUGGUAGUGGCGUCGGCAGUACAGAUGCCGAAGGUAGCAAGCAGGUUCAAAUCCUGCCUGCGGUG